Molecule: long non-coding RNA, 2397 nt
Filed under: Helianthus annuus (common sunflower)
Lineage: Eukaryota; Viridiplantae; Streptophyta; Magnoliopsida; Asterales; Asteraceae
Source: RNAcentral
GGCGUGACUGACCAGGAUCCAGCCACCAAUCAUACUGAACAAGCAUAUAAGUAGUUAUAAAAGUUUAACCAUCACGAUUGGUGUUCCAAAACAAAUAAGUUUAAGUUGCAAGCGGAAGCAUAAGUUUAAAGUUAUAACAUAAGUUCCAAAAGUUUCAAGUUUAACAUAGUCUUGUAGCAAUCCCUGUCCCACAACGAUCCUCCUCCAUGCAAGCUCCAGCUGAGAUCCAGCCACCAAUCAUACUGAACAAGCAUAUAAGUAGUUAUAAAAGUUUAACCAUCACGAUUGGUGUUCCAAAACAAAUAAGUUUAAGUUGCAAGCGGAAGCAUAAGUUUAAAGUUAUAACAUAAGUUCCAAAAGUUUCAAGUUUAACAUAGUCUUGUAGCAAUCCCUGUCCCACAACGAUCCUCCUCCAUGCAAGCUCCAGCUGAGUACCUAUGGUCCUGCAAAGCAUGUAGUAACGAGUCAACAACUAGUUGAGUGAGUUCACGGGUGGGCGUUCGUUUUAGUUGUUUCGAAAACAGUUUACAUUAUCUGGCAUCCUGCCGUGGGGGUUACCCCAUAGUUUAAAAAACGUGACCAGUUCGUUCCCAGUUACUCCGGCACUCCGGCCGUGGGGGCUACCCCAUGUAGUUAUCAGGCAUUUCGGCCGUGGGGGCUACCCCAUGUACAUCAUCUGGCUCUCCAGCCGUGGGGGCUACCCCAUGUGUAUACUAGACUCGUUACCGUAUCGAUUGCUGACUGUAGUCAUGUUUAUGUGCCCUGAAAACAUCAAUGUCUAUCAUCAUUGACGUGCCCCAGAUCCAUUAGUUCACGCCCGUCCUCUGCGGCACGGUGUGAGGCUUGUCAGACCUAAAUAGCGCUAUCUAACUAAUGACCCGCUCGCCAUUGGCCCGGCGAUUAGUCGAUACAAAAAGGAGGGACUUCGUGAUAGAGUUUUAGUCUAGUACGUUUAUCCGUCCAUCCGGACGAGGAAUCACAUUCCUGAACCACUGACGUCCUACCCAAUGGUAGACGAGGAACCCAUGUUCCUGAAUCCCAUUCCCAACCCAGGGAAUCCCAUGCUUUGUAAAGGGUGUGAACUCACCUUGGUUUGCUCGGCAGUCAAACACAGAAAGUCAAUCAAGUCGCAAGUAGUCAAUAACGUCCUAACACGGAUAUCACAUAUAAUCAGAUUCGAACCAAGUAGUGCACAAAUGUUCAACACGUUUGGCAAGCACGUUUAGUAGUAACAGUUAACAGUCAACAGUAGCACAUACGGUUCACAAGUUCAGCCCAACUACUUAGGCCCAAACACGUAAAAGCAGUUAACACAGAAGCCCAUCAGUCUGGCCCAUUAACUAAGGCCCAAAAGUGUGGUCUCGAGUCGCAACCGGACUCGCAAGCAUGGUCUCGAGUCAUGCUGUGUGUUGAUCAUGGAUGGUUGCGAGUCGCAACCGGUGUCGCAACCGUAGUCUCGGUUCAUCAUGCUAAGGUCUCGAGUCGCAACCGGACUCGUAACCUGUGGUUUCGGCUUGUCCUGUUAUGGUUGCGAGUCGCAACCGCGUGGUCUCGAGUCAUCACGCUGUGGUUGCGAGUCGCAACGGGUGAUUGCGAGUCGGUAAGCUGUCAUUUUCACGUUCACGUGUUGAUGCAGGUGUAAUCAGCCAAAUAGUACAAUAUAAUCAGGCCCAAAUCCGGAAAUGACCAAUAGAAUUUCACUAACAUAUUUCCUAAUCAGGCUAUUAGUCAAAUGUGGAUCAAAAUCACAAGGGUUUUCAAUCUUCAACUAUCAUUCAAAGUGUUCUUCAAAUAUUCAAACCCAUCUUCAUCAAGUUCAUAACAUUUUAACCACUUAUUCAAUCAACACUAUGAACAAGCAUCAAAACACUAAGCAUAACACAUAACCCGGUUUUCAUACAAGUCCGAUUUCAUGACAUAUGUAACCCGAUUUCAUGUUCAUCAACAUAAGUGGUUCAAACUUCAUUUAGACACAACAUAUCACAUCUUGCCAUAUAAUAUAUGUUAACCGGUUAUCAACAUGGUGCAUAUUAGAAUCAUCAUAAACAUCAAGAACAUCAUGUAAUCUCUAACUAUAGACAUCAUCUUAUGCAUACAUCCAUUCAAGCACAAACACAACAAAAAUUAACCAUAAAAAUACUAACCGGUUGGUGAUGUGUGUGUGUGUGCCGAUCCAAAGUCCAAAUCCGAGAGUUUCUUGUGUCAACCGAGUGGAUCCGAGAGUCUUGGAGAUGUGUUUGUGUGCUAGAGUUCUAGUGGGAGAGAAGAUAGAAGUGUGUGUGUGUUCUAAUGUUCAACAAAGUGGUAACAAGUAACUAGGGGUGGUGUAUUUAUAGUCAAGUUCCAAAUGGUGCACCCUUAGUGGGUUUCGAGUGGGGGUUCACGGCCCAAAGGCCC